Long non-coding RNA from Heterocephalus glaber (naked mole-rat), 540 nucleotides. The record is from Ensembl. Lineage: Eukaryota; Metazoa; Chordata; Mammalia; Rodentia; Bathyergidae.
CUGAGUGCAAAUGUUUGUUUUAGGUAGCAAGGCAGGCAAGCAUGGGGACAGUUUGGCUGAAUAAUUAACUUUUAUCUGAUUGUCCUUUGGAUCCUUCCUUGUUUUCCUCAUAAGGCCCAUCUCUGCUCCAGUUGGCAAAACAUCAUCAAGAUGUUCUGGCUCCUGGGAGUUAGCAUAUCCCCCCUCACCCCCACUUGAGCAGACAUCGACCUGUUGGGUGUCACAAGGAAUUCCACAAGGAAUGCCUGCCAGAUAGAGAAAAAAAGCUGAAGCUUGUUCCUACAAACCUGUCCCCAAGAGCCCUCCAAUUUUCACCUCUCUUCAUGACUGCAAGCCUAUAUCCAGAGUCCUAGCAUCACUGCUCACACUGUCUACCUCUUCAUCCAUAUUCAUUGUCAAGUCUACAGUUAAGAAACUCGAACAAGUUAUUGCAUUUAGAUGUAGUAGUCUGUACAAUCUGUUAGGUAUUUGUAAAAAUGCUUACCGCAUUAUAACCCAUGAAUUAGUCAGUGAAAUAAAAUACAUAUAAAUGUAUGUCUG